Molecule: ribosomal RNA, 253 nt
Filed under: uncultured bacterium
Lineage: Bacteria
Description: partial 16S ribosomal RNA
Rfam family: Bacterial small subunit ribosomal RNA
Source: RNAcentral
UACGUAGGGUGCAGGCGUUAAUCGGAAUUACUGGGCGUAAAGCGUGCGCAGGCGGUUUCUUAAGUCAGAUGUGAAAGCCCCGGGCUUAACCUGGGAACUGCGUUUGAAACUGGGAGACUUGAGUGUGGCAGAGGGGGGUGGAAUUCCACGUGUAGCAGUGAAAUGCGUAGAUAUGUGGAUGAACACCGAUGGCGAAGGCAGCCCCCUGGGUUAACACUGACGCUCAUGCACGAAAGCGUGGGGAGCAAACAGG